AUUGAACGCUGGCGGCAGGCCUAACACAUGCAAGUCGAACGGUAACAGGAAACAGCUUGCUGUUUCGCUGACGAGUGGCGGACGGGUGAGUAAUGUCUGGGAAACUGCCUGAUGGAGGGGGAUAACUACUGGAAACGGUAGCUAAUACCGCAUAACGUCGCAAGACCAAAGAGGGGGACCUUCGGGCCUCUUGCCAUCGGAUGUGCCCAGAUGGGAUUAGCUAGUAGGUGGGGUAACGGCUCACCUAGGCGACGAUCCCUAGCUGGUCUGAGAGGAUGACCAGCCACACUGGAACUGAGACACGGUCCAGACUCCUACGGGAGGCAGCAGUGGGGAAUAUUGCACAAUGGGCGCAAGCCUGAUGCAGCCAUGCCGCGUGUAUGAAGAAGGCCUUCGGGUUGUAAAGUACUUUCAGCGGGGAGGAAGGGAGUAAAGUGAAUACCUUUACUCAUUGACGUUACCCGCAGAAGAAGCACCGGCUAACUCCGUG
This 490-nucleotide ribosomal RNA is filed under the name uncultured bacterium. RNAcentral's name for it is "partial 16S ribosomal RNA". It matches the Rfam family "Bacterial small subunit ribosomal RNA", at positions 30 to 507 of the family's 1533-position model. The record is from RNAcentral.